This 311-nucleotide ribosomal RNA is filed under the name Coelotes sp. SD068. Its description in RNAcentral is "partial 12S ribosomal RNA". The record is from RNAcentral. Lineage: Eukaryota; Metazoa; Arthropoda; Arachnida; Araneae; Agelenidae.
AAACUAAUUUAACCUGGCGGCAUUUCAUCUACUUAGAGGAAUUUGUCCUUUAAUCGAUAAUCCACGUUAAAUUUCACUUUAGUUCCAAAACUUAUAUACCGCCAUCUUAAGAAUUAAUUCAAAAAUAUUCCUCUUAAUAAAUAAUAAAAAGUUAGGUCAAGGUGUAAUCAAUAUUAAAGUAUGAGAUGAUUUACAUUAAAAAAUAUUUAAAGAUUAUUAAUAAAUAUACAAAUAUAAAUAAGGAUUUAAAAGUAAUAUCUAUAUAACAAUAAUAAUAUAUGAUAAAGAUAAUAAAUGUGUACACAUCGCCC